RNAcentral lists this long non-coding RNA (1443 nucleotides) under Brassica rapa (field mustard). Its description in RNAcentral is "long non-coding RNA (BRAP_LNC008452)". The record is from RNAcentral. Lineage: Eukaryota; Viridiplantae; Streptophyta; Magnoliopsida; Brassicales; Brassicaceae.
UGUAUGUGUGUAUAAACUCCAAUGGAGAAAGAUGAGAGCUUAGUUCUAGGUGAUUUAAGAACAGAGAUGGGUGAGAGUGUUUAAGUGUUUAAGAGACUAAAGAGAAUGAGAUUAAGAGACUGAGAGACUAGAGAGAGACUGAGAGAAUAAGAGACUGAAGAUUAGGGAAGGAGAAGGGAAACCCCCUUACUCACUUAGUUCUUUACACACGACAUUACUCAGCUUAUAUAUGAGCUUUACAACUUGUAAUACUUAGAAACCCUAGCAUAAAGGAUAAGAGAAGAAGGGUGGAGAUCUUCUGGUUUGAAUUGGACGUUGCUGAUUAAGUCUUGGGGCUUUACUAGCUGGUUGAGGGCGCCUGAUUGGAUAAGGGAAAGCACGGCCAGGACAGUCCCUUUAUGUCUUGUGUAUCUGCCCAUCUCUUUGUCCAGAUACAUAGUCUUGUCUUGCUCUUCUUUUCCAGCUGUAGCCAGCCUGUCUUGGACCACUCUAACCAAUCCCAUACUUCCCUCAAACUGGCGCCAACUCUUGUUUGAAUCUUCUUGCCCCCAAAGCAUCUUCUUGAUUCCAUUUGAUGCUUCUCACUAUCCCGGACUUUGCACAUUCAUAUUAGAGCUUCUCCUUGGCUGUACGGUCUUGCCAUAGCCGUACACCAAUGCCCUAUAUUUGCACCACACUUCCAUCUUCUCUUUAACUCCUCCAAAGCCUUCACAUGAUCAGUCUAAGUCUUUCCUAGACUUAACUUCACAACAUAACUACUUCAGAAUACUUCUGAAGCUUGAUUGAACUCUUCUUGACUUCUUCUAGAGCUUGCCCUAUUAUUGUACAAGCUCUAUCUUCUCUUCAGUUCAACACUCCCCCUCAAGCUUGACUUUAGGAGAUCCUAAGCCAAGCUUGGAACUCUGAAGAGUCUCCCUCAUUAAAAACCUUACAAGGAAAACCCAUUGGGACAAAACCUUGCAAGGGAAAAAGAGUAGAGCUCUCCAAAGCCUAGGGAUUGGCCAGUGAGCUCUUGUGCCUUAGAACCAGUGUGGUUGGACACAAGAAGCUCUGGAUCACGGCCUAACAGGUGCAGCAACUCUUCACAGCUUUGCGCACACUUCACACUUCACACUUCAGCUUCACCUCUUUAUGGAACCGGUUUGAAGUCUCCCCCUCUCAACUGACUUCACAGCCAUCUUAGAGAAGCUAGGACACGACCAGAUCAUCUUCAAAAACACUAGUGAGGCUGAUCAACACUUCACACACGGCUUGCCCUCUUCAUAGAACUGGUUUGGAUCUCCCCCUCUCAACAGACUUCUCAGCCAUCUUAGAGAAGCUAGGAACUGACCAGGGACAUCUUUAGUGAGGCUCAAGCAAUGGUACCUGAUACAUUAUCCCAAAGAUGCAUCAGUACCUAUCAAAAAACAAGAAAAUGAAUAUCCUGCAUCACACUUGAUGCAC